Telopea speciosissima is the source of this 88-nucleotide long non-coding RNA. RefSeq lists it as uncharacterized. NCBI's taxonomy places the organism in Eukaryota, Viridiplantae, Streptophyta, Magnoliopsida, Proteales, Proteaceae. The transcript is spliced from 3 exons. The record is from RefSeq and is a predicted model, not a curated record.
CAAACUGGAGUUAUGGAAAUCAACUUUGGAAUCAAAAGGCUUUAAGAUAAGUAGAACAAAGAUGGAGUAUAUGGAAUUUAAUUUUCUG